AAAGGAAUAGACGGGGGCCCGCACAAGCGGUGGAGCAUGUGGUUUAAUUCGAUGAUACGCGAGGAACCUUACCAGGGCUUAAAUGUAGUGGGACAGAUCUGGAAACAGGUCCUUCUUCGGACUCAUUACAAGGUGCUGCAUGGUUGUCGUCAGCUCGUGCCGUGAGGUGUCAGGUUAAGUCCUAUAACGAGCGCAACCCCUGUUGUUAGUUGCCAGCGAGUAAUGUCGGGAACUCUAGCAAGACUGCCGGUGCAAACCGAGAGGAAGGUGGGGAUGACGUCAAAUCAUCACGGCCCUUACGUCCUGGGCCACACACGUGCUACAAUGGCCGGUACAGAGAGCAGCCACUUGGCGACAAGGAGCGAAUCUAUAAAGCCGGUCACAGUUCGGAUUGGAGUCUGCAACUCGACUCUAUGAAGCUGGAAUCGCUAGUAAUCGGAUAUCAGCCAUGAUCCGGUGAAUACGUUCCCGGGCCUUGUACACACCGCCCGU
Molecule: ribosomal RNA, 492 nt
Filed under: uncultured bacterium
Lineage: Bacteria
Description: bacterial SSU rRNA
Rfam family: Bacterial small subunit ribosomal RNA
Source: RNAcentral